GAUGAACGCUGGCGGCGUGCCUAAUACAUGCAAGUCGAGCGAACAGACGAGGAGCUUGCUCCUCUGACGUUAGCGGCGGACGGGUGAGUAACACGUGGAUAACCUACCUCUAAGACUGGGAUAACUUAGUGAAACCGGAGCUAGUACCGGCUAAUAUAUUGAACCGCAUGGUUAAAGAGUUUACGGCGGUUUUGGUGUCCCUUAUCGAUGGAUCCGCUCGGCAUGUACUAGUUGGUAAGGUAACGGCUUACUAAGGCGACGAUGCGUAACCGACGCGAGAGGGUGAUGCGGCACACUGGAGUUGAGACGCGGCCCUGACUCCGACGGGAGGCAGCAGCAGGGAAGGGAGCGAGAAGGGCGAAAGACUGACGGAGCAACGCCGGCCGGGUGAAGAGGGUCUUCGGAUCGUAAGACGCUGUUAGUGUUGAAGAACAAUUGUGUAAGUAACGAUGCGUGUCUUGACGGUACCUGGACAGAAAGCCCCGGCUAACUACGUG
This 497-nucleotide ribosomal RNA is filed under the name uncultured bacterium. RNAcentral's name for it is "partial 16S ribosomal RNA". It matches the Rfam family "Bacterial small subunit ribosomal RNA", at positions 28 to 507 of the family's 1533-position model. The record is from RNAcentral.